Molecule: ribosomal RNA, 554 nt
Filed under: Lachnolaimus maximus (hogfish)
Lineage: Eukaryota; Metazoa; Chordata; Actinopteri; Labriformes; Labridae
Description: partial 16S ribosomal RNA
Rfam family: Bacterial large subunit ribosomal RNA
Source: RNAcentral
AAUAAGAGGUCCCGCCUGCCCUGUGACUAUACGUUUAACGGCCGCGGUAUUCUGACCGUGCGAAGGUAGCGCAAUCACUUGUCUUUUAAAUGGAGACCUGUAUGAAUGGCAUAACGAGGGCUUAACUGUCUCCCCUUUCAAGUCAAUGAAAUUGAUCUCCCCGUGCAGAAGCGGGGAUAGCCACAUAAGACGAGAAGACCCUAUGGAGCUUUAGACACCAAAGCAGAUCAUGUUAAACGCCCCUAAACAAAGGACAAAACCAGACGAACCCUGCCCUAAUGUCUUUGGUUGGGGCGACCGCGGGGUAUCAUAUAACCCCCAUGUGGACUGGGAACACUCCACCUACAACCAAGAGCUACCGCUCUAAGUACCAGAAUUUUUGACCAAACAGAUCCGGCAAAGCCGAUCAACGGACCGAGUUACCCUAGGGAUAACAGCGCAAUCCUCUUUUAGAGUUCAUAUCGACAAGAGGGUUUACGACCUCGAUGUUGGAUCAGGACAUCCUAAUGGUGCAGCCGCUAUUAAGGGUUCGUUUGUUCAACGAUUAAAGUCCU